This 495-nucleotide ribosomal RNA is filed under the name uncultured bacterium. RNAcentral's name for it is "partial 16S ribosomal RNA". It matches the Rfam family "Bacterial small subunit ribosomal RNA", at positions 28 to 507 of the family's 1533-position model. The record is from RNAcentral.
GAUGAACGCUGGCGGCGUGCCUAAUACAUGCAAGUAGAACGCUGAAGGAGGAGCUUGCUCUUCUGGAUGAGUUGCGAACGGGUGAGUAACGCGUAGGUAACCUGCCUGGUAGCGGGGGAUAACUAUAGGAAACGAUAGCUAAUACCGCAUGACAACAGUUAUUGCAUGAUAACUGUUUAAAAGGGGCAACUGCUCCACUACCAGAUGGACCUGCGUUGUAUUAGCUAGGUGGUGAGGUAAGGGCUCACCAAGGCGGCGGUACAUAGCCGACUUGAGAGGGGGAUCGGCCACCCUGGGACUGGGACCCGGCCCAGACUCCUACGGGAGGCAGCCGUAGGGAAUCUUCGGCAAUGGACGGAAGUCUGACCGAGCAACGCCGCGUGAGGGAAGAAAGUUUUCGGAUCGUAAAGCUCUGUUGUAAGAGAAGAACGAGUGUGAGGGUAGAAAGUUCACACUGUGACGGUAUCUUACCAGAAAGGGACGGCUAACUACGUG